Molecule: ribosomal RNA, 319 nt
Filed under: uncultured bacterium
Lineage: Bacteria
Description: bacterial SSU rRNA
Rfam family: Bacterial small subunit ribosomal RNA
Source: RNAcentral
GAUGAACGCUAGCGACAGGCUUAACACAUGCAAGUCGAGGGGCAGCGGGGGCGAAGCUUGCUUCGCCUGCCGGCGACCGGCGCACGGGUGAGUAACACGUAUGCGACCUGCCCUCCGCAGGGGGAUAACCGGGAGAAAUCCCGACUAAUACCGCGUAACGCCGCGGGGCUGCAUGGCUCCGCGGCCAAAGGAAGCGAUUCCGGCGGGGGAUGGGCAUGCGGCGCAGUAGCUAGUCGGCGGGGUAACGGCCCACCGAGGCGACGAUGCGUAGGGGUUCUGAGAGGAAGGUCCCCCACACUGGUACUGAGACACGGACCAG